Molecule: ribosomal RNA, 274 nt
Filed under: uncultured prokaryote
Description: partial 16S ribosomal RNA
Rfam family: Bacterial small subunit ribosomal RNA
Source: RNAcentral
CACGUAGGGGCGAGCGUUGUCCGGAAUUAUUGGGCGUAAAGGGUACGCAGGUGGUUGAUUAAGUCUGAUGUGAAAGCCCACGGCUUAACCGUGGAGGGUCAUUGGAAACUGGUCGACUUGAGUGCAGAAGAGGGAAGUGGAAUUCCAUGUGUAGCGGUGAAAUGCGUAGAGAUAUGGAGGAACACCAGUGGCGAAGGCGGCUUCCUGGUCUGUAACUGACACUGAGGCGCGAAAGCGUGGGGAGCAAACAGGAUUAGAUACCCCCGUAGUCCCU